RNAcentral lists this ribosomal RNA (253 nucleotides) under uncultured bacterium. RNAcentral describes it as "partial 16S ribosomal RNA". It matches the Rfam family "Bacterial small subunit ribosomal RNA", at positions 524 to 776 of the family's 1533-position model. The record is from RNAcentral.
UACGGGGGGGGUAAGCGUUGUUCGGAAUUACUGGGCGUAAAGGGCUCGUAGGCGGCCAACUAAGUCAGACGUGAAAUCCCUCAGCUUAACUGGGGAACUGCGUCUGAUACUGGAUGGCUUGGAUUCGGGAGAGGAAUGCGGAAUUCCUGGUGUAGCGGUGAAAUGCGCAGAUAUCAGGAGGAACACCGAUGGCGAAGGCAGGUCUCUGGGCAUUAACUGACGCUGAGGAGCGAAAGCAUGGGGAGCGAACAGG